RNAcentral lists this ribosomal RNA (439 nucleotides) under uncultured bacterium. RNAcentral's name for it is "partial 16S ribosomal RNA". It matches the Rfam family "Bacterial small subunit ribosomal RNA", at positions 339 to 795 of the family's 1533-position model. The record is from RNAcentral.
CUACGGGGCGCUGCAGUGGGGAAUAUUGCACAAUGGAGGAAACUCUGAUGCAGCAACGCCGCGUGGAGGAUGACACUUUUCGGAGCGUAAACUCCUUUUAUAUAGGAAGAAGAUGGCGGUACUAUAUGAAUAAGCGCCGGCUAACUCCGUGCCAGCAGCCGCGGUAAUACGGAGGGCGCAAGCGUUACUCGGAAUCACUGGGCGUAAAGAGCGUGUAGGCGGAUUAAAAAGUCAGAAGUGAAAUCCUAUAGCUUAACUAUAGAACUGCUUCUGAAACUCUUAAUCUAGAAUAUGGGAGAGGUAGAUGGAAUUUCUGGUGUAGGGGUAAAAUCCGUAGAGAUCAGAAGGAAUACCGAUUGCGAAGGCGAUCUACUGGAACAUUAUUGACGCUGAGACGCGAAAGCGUGGGGAGCAAACAGGAUUAGAUACCCGAGUAGUC